AGAACACACCCAUGAUUCCAAAAGAAAGCAAGAGAAGGACUUUCCCGAUACACAGACGGAAAACACCGCUUAUAUCACUAGAACCACAGGGGGAAGUUUUGCUGAAACACAGACGGUGUUAAAGUUCAGGUUGUUUGUCUACUGUGGAGGAAUAGCAGGAUUUAUACUGCUGAUUGGGGGCUGUUUUGCGUGUGUGCAGUUCAGAAAAAGAAGGCAAAAACCAAACACGGCAAUUACCAAUGAUGAAAACAGAAUUUUAAGAGUUUCUUGCAAAGGAAAUCAAAAUCCAUCUAAACAAAAGGAAAGUAUGCAUAUAUACCAUACCAUUGAUGACAACAUAUUAGCAGGUCCAAUCACAGACUGUUAUGCGUAUUCAGAGGUAAUUAUUGAAUCCAGCAGCCAGAAAAGCAAAACAAAUGGAACUGAAACUGCAUGUAGCUACGCUCAACAUGCUCAACAAUACCAAAGCUUAGUCCCUGAAACUUUAGAGAUGCACCAUUAAAAGUAGAGAACAAUAUCACAGAUAUGUUUAUAACCCUAAACAUUAAAAAAUACGUGAAACGUUUUCACAAACAAUAACGAUUCAAGAAAUGCAAUAAGGUUCAUAAUAUUAUCAAAAUAAACACAAAAGUAUCAGAAAUGUCAGGGAAAAAUACACUUUAAUGCCUUUUUUACACACUAUCUUGAAUUACAUUAUAUAUGUAAGUGUUUUCAAUACAAGCUAUGCAGUCCACUUGUCUGUUAAAGGAUAGGAACUUUAAUUUCCGUAGAGUACUGCUAUUAAAUUAGGAUUAAACAUUGAAUUGAAAGUAUUGUAUUUGGACUUGUACAUAGUAAAAAUCUGACAUUUUGUGCUGCAUAUAAUAUAUAUAACACAUCUUUCAUUGGCCUGUUUGAUCACUUAUUUGUCAUCU
Molecule: long non-coding RNA, 914 nt
Organism: Mytilus californianus (California mussel)
Lineage: Eukaryota; Metazoa; Mollusca; Bivalvia; Mytilida; Mytilidae
Exons: 3
Source: RefSeq, a predicted model, not a curated record